This 253-nucleotide ribosomal RNA is filed under the name uncultured bacterium. RNAcentral describes it as "partial 16S ribosomal RNA". It matches the Rfam family "Bacterial small subunit ribosomal RNA", at positions 524 to 776 of the family's 1533-position model. The record is from RNAcentral.
UACGGAGGGAGCUAGCGUUGUUCGGAAUUACUGGGCGUAAAGCGCACGUAGGCGGCUAUUCAAGUCGGGGGUGAAAGCCCGGGGCUCAACCCCGGAACUGCCCUCGAAACUAGGUAGCUAGAAUCUUGGAGAGGCGAGUGGAAUUCCGAGUGUAGAGGUGAAAUUCGUAGAUAUUCGGAAGAACACCAGUGGCGAAGGCGGCUCACUGGCCCGGUACUGACGCUGAGGUGCGAAAGCGUGGGGAGCAAACAGG